CACGUAGGGUGCGAGCGUUGUCCGGAAUUACUGGGCGUAAAGCGUGCGCAGGCGGUUCGUUGUGUCGGUGGUGAAAUCCCCGGGCUUAACCUGGGAAUGGCCAUGGAAACUGGCGAACUGGAGUGCGGCAGAGGGGGGUGGAAUUCCGCGUGUAGCAGUGAAAUGCGUAGAGAUGCGGAGGAACACCGAUGGCGAAGGCAGCCCCCUGGGCUAGCACUGACGCUCAGGCACGAAAGCGUGGGGAGCAAACAGG
Molecule: ribosomal RNA, 253 nt
Filed under: uncultured bacterium
Lineage: Bacteria
Description: partial 16S ribosomal RNA
Rfam family: Bacterial small subunit ribosomal RNA
Source: RNAcentral